GACGAACGCUGGCGGCGUGCCUAAUACAUGCAAGUAGAACGCUGAAGGAGGAGCUUGCUUCUCUGGAUGAGUCGCGAACGGGUGAGUAACGCGUAGGUAACCUGCCUGGUAGCGGGGGAUAACUAUUGGAAACGAUAGCUAAUACCGCAUAAUAUUGACUAUUGCAUGAUAGUCAGUUGAAAGGUGCAACUGCACCACUACCAGAUGGACCUGCGUUGUAUUAGCUAGUUGGUGGGGUAACGGCUCACCAAGGCGACGAUACAUAGCCGACCUGAGAGGGUGAUCGGCCACACUGGGGCUGAGACACGGCCCAGACUCCUACGGGAGGCAGCAGUAGGGAAUCUUCGGCAAUGGACGGAAGUCUGACCGAGCAACGCCGCGUGAGUGAAGAAGGUUUUCGGAUCGUAAAGCUCUGUUGUAAGAGAAGAACGAGUGUGAGAGUGGAAAGCUCACACUGUGACGGUAUCUUACCAGAAAGGGACGGCUAACUACGUG
RNAcentral lists this ribosomal RNA (495 nucleotides) under uncultured bacterium. RNAcentral describes it as "partial 16S ribosomal RNA". It matches the Rfam family "Bacterial small subunit ribosomal RNA", at positions 28 to 507 of the family's 1533-position model. The record is from RNAcentral.